RNAcentral lists this ribosomal RNA (222 nucleotides) under uncultured Anoxybacillus sp. Its description in RNAcentral is "partial 16S ribosomal RNA". It matches the Rfam family "Bacterial small subunit ribosomal RNA", at positions 1164 to 1381 of the family's 1533-position model. The record is from RNAcentral. Lineage: Bacteria; Bacillati; Bacillota; Bacilli; Caryophanales; Anoxybacillaceae.
CGGAGGAAGGUGGGGAUGACGUCAAAUCAUCAUGCCCCUUAUGACCUGGGCUACACACGUGCUACAAUAGGGCGGGUACAAAGGGUACGCGAACCCGCGAGGGGGAGCCAAUCCCAAAAAGCCGCUCUCAGUUCGGAUUGCAGGCUGCAACUCGCCUGCAUGAAGCCGGAAUCGCUAGUAAUCGCGGAUCAGCAUGCCGCGGUGAAUACGUUCCCGGGCCUC